GCUACGGUAGCUUAAAUUAUAAAAAGUUCAAUAUUCUUAAUAUUGUGAUGACAUACUUUGUUUCGUGGCA
Molecule: transfer RNA, 70 nt
Filed under: Diplorchis sp.
Lineage: Eukaryota; Metazoa; Platyhelminthes; Monogenea; Polystomatidea; Polystomatidae
Description: tRNA-Lys
Source: RNAcentral